This 782-nucleotide ribosomal RNA is filed under the name uncultured bacterium. RNAcentral describes it as "bacterial SSU rRNA". It matches the Rfam family "Bacterial small subunit ribosomal RNA", at positions 8 to 796 of the family's 1533-position model. The record is from RNAcentral.
AGAGUUUGAUCAUGGCUCAGAACGAACGCUGGCGGCGUGGAUAAGACAUGCAAGUCGAACGGGAUAUUGGUAGCAAUACCGAUGUUCAGUGGCGUAAGGGUGCGUAACACGUGGGUUACCUGCCGAGAAGUGGGGGGAUAGCUCGCCGAAAGGGAAUUAAUACCGCAUAGUACAUUUGUUAAAGCCGGGGCAACCUGGCGCUUCUUGAGGGGCCCGCGGCCUAUCAGCUAGUUGGUGAGGUAUCGGCUUACCAAGGCUAUGACGGGUAGCUGGUCUGAGAGGACGACCAGCCACACUGGAACUGAGACACGGUCCAGACACCUACGGGUGGCAGCAGUCGAGAAUUUUUCUCAAUGGGGGAAACCCUGAAGGAGCGACGCCGCGUGGAGGAUGAAGGUCUUCGGAUUGUAAACUCCUGUCAUUGAAGAACAAAAUACGUAAGUUAACUGCUUAUGUGUCGAUAGUAUUCGAAGAGGAAGGGACGGCUAACUCUGUGCCAGCAGCCGCGGUAAUACAGAGGUCCCAAGCGUUGUUCGGAUUCAUUGGGCGUAAAGGGAGCGUAGGUGGUCGGGUAAGUCAGAUGUCAAAUUUCGACGCUCAACGUCGAAUCGCAUUUGAUACUGCCUGGCUAGAGGAAUUGAGAGGAGGCCGGAAUUCACGGUGUAGCAGAAAUGCGUAGAUAUCGUGAGGAAGACCAACGGCGAAAGCAGGCCUCUGGAAAUCUCCUGACACUGAGGCUCGAAGGCCAGGGGAGCAAACGGGAUUAGAUACCCUAGUAGUCC